Molecule: long non-coding RNA, 6088 nt
Organism: Falco peregrinus (peregrine falcon)
Lineage: Eukaryota; Metazoa; Chordata; Aves; Falconiformes; Falconidae
Exons: 2
Source: RefSeq, a predicted model, not a curated record
GUGACCGCGCUCCCCUCCCCCGCCCGGCGGGCUGGGGCCGGCGCUAGGGCCAGGGCCAGGGCCAGGACCGGGCCAUCUGCGGCCGUGGGUCAUGGGGCGCCGGGGCUCCCUACGCGUGGGGCGGGCGGCGAGGGGCCGCCCGGGUUCCCAGCCUGUCAGGCGGGAGCGGGGAGGCGCCGCGCCGCGAUCAACGACUUGCAGGCAGCCCUCGCGGGGAUGUGCGACCUAUUUCUAAACUGCCGGUGAAGGAGAUUUCGCAGCCCCUCAGAGGUCCCAGGAAGCUGCGGCUGCUUUUGUUGGGCAUGUGUGCAGGCGUGCCGUGGGGUAUGCAGAAAAGGGAGUUUUGCCCUUGCUGGGGACUAAGGCGGCCUUCUGGGUCUGGAAACAAAUGCCAGGUGUUGUCAGAAAGGUGGGACUCUUUUUCCAGUGGGUUGUUGCUCUGAUAUGAUGAGGGCUCUGACUUUCUAGGGCAGCGUAGGUGCUUAUCUUUCCUAAGUGUAACAGCCUAUCCUGCUUUCCCCAGUACAGGAAAGUGAUUGCAUUCUGUCUCUGGGAGACGUGAAGAGCAGUUGAUUGUUGCCUUUGUUCUAACAGCCUUUUAAUCUGCUUGAAGACUGUUUGUCAUGGGCCUACUGGCCUGUUUUUUUUUUUCCCUCCUAGAAAAAAGAGUUUCUUCGGAUCAUGUCUUCUAAAUCUUUUUUUCUUACUGCUUUCUCCUCAAGCUUCUCCUUGCCUGACCCAGCUCAGAAGUGAGGUGCUGCACUUCCCUGCUGCAUCCCGUGCACAGCCUGCUGCAAAUUUGCCCUUCUCUCUUCUGCAGCUGUGCUGUGUUAACUCUCCAUGCCAGUAACAGACAUUUGUAUUUGUCAUUUGGCAUCUCUGCUGGGGCAGUUCAGAUUUUUGUAGUACAAGGGUGCCCGCAGUAACUUUCCUCCCUUUCUGAAGGCAGGUGCAUCGUUUAUCUUUCUUCUGUCACCUGAGAGCACUCUUCUUGCCUGGAUUUGGAAGGUACUUGCUAGGGGUUCAGAGAUGCCUUGGGAGAAUUUCUAGAGCUUUCUGGUAUGAUGGAGAUACUCGUUAGCUUUUUCUUCUGCCUGUUCUCUGCUUGAUUUGCUUCCCUACUUCAGACUUGUCUGUGUCUGUCUCUCAUUUCUAGAGGUGGUUUUGAUGCCUUGUACCAUUCUGAUGCUUUGAACCCUCUUGGCUCGGAGGGAUUUCAGUUAUGAGCCAUGCUGAUUUCAUCCCUGAAGGCUUGUGCUAACCUAUUAUUCUCAUCUGUAAUUUCAUCUAUCUAUCAUUGUUCCUAAUUUCCUCUCCAGUCUCACAAGCCCUCUACUGACAGUGUUUUUCUCUCUACACUGUUUUUCUAUUAAAUAAAGAGAGUAAGUUGGAACAUGUGUAGAGGUACUGCAGUUUCAAAGGUGGGUCCUAGAACUAGGUGCAUAAACUUAGAUCUGGCCGUGGUAGGCUCACCUACUCCUCCCUAAGCAAAAAGUUUAAUACUUUAAUGAUCUUAAAUGAAGAUAAUUAAAGAAUGAGAUAAUUAAAUAACAUUUUAAAGGUAGGUAAUUAGUACCCUGCUAAUUUCUUCAGUUUUGUUUCCUGUAAAGUGAAGCAGUCAUGCUGCCUGCUCUCGACAGAGAUCUGCUAGCACUGGGGGCAUGGUGGAGAGGCGGUCAGAGAGCUGCAGAGGGACGGCUGGAGCUCACUUUCUUUGCUUUCAGACACACUGACCACUCCUUGCAGCAGACCUCUCAGCUCUGAUUCAUACCCUCUGUGGUUUCAAUCUGCAUGGUAGAGACGAAGGCUUGAUUGCCAUGCAAAACUCUGAGCCCUGGUUCCUUGCUGACCAGACUCUGUGCCUGACUGGACUGGGCUGGUCUCAAGUCUGGGAACACUUAUCCAGAAGGGCAAACUCAUGACUAAGAGUUUAUUUCCAUGCCUGUUGUGCAUGAUGAUCUGUAACCAGCUUUUUUUUCCCCCCUUUCUAGAAGACCAGAUGCUUCUGGAAGGAUCGAGUGGUUGGUGAUUAAAGUAAUACAUGAGCUAGCUUAAUGCCCCUGCUGUUUCUGUUGGGAUUUGGCUAGGAAAAUACGUAACAGCAGUGGUCUUAGGGAUAGGUAACACAGGUUUUGUUGUAUUUUGUGCCACAACACUGCUGAGAGAUUACAGACUUGGUGACGGGGGAGCUGGUGGUUGACUGUGUGGUUCCACUCAGGAGAUGAGGCAGCUGGGCCUGUGUCUGAGCUCCGUGUCCUCAGCUCCUGUCAAGCAGUCACUGAUAUUCAGGUGCGUCCUAGCCUGGUGGCUCUUGGUUCUGCUUCUCCUGCUCCAUGGGAGAACCCUUUGCCCUCCAGAGCUGGCCGCUUGUCCUCCCUGCCACCACUCCCAGCCUCCUGCUCCAGCAGGUUUCAGGGAGCUGCUCGCUGCCCAGAGAGCUCAGCGGUUAAAUAACUAAUGAAUCAGAGGUAUGAUAUGUUUAUUACUCAGUUUAUUAUGCUGAUGAUUUGAGUAGCUGAGUUUAGGCCAAACCACCUCCUCAUGACCUGCGAGAAGGAAGGAGAGAAGGUUUCCUGCUCCCUGCUGUACUGAAUGUGCUUUUCUCUGCUGUUUUGGGUGCUGGCUUUCCUAAGCCGUGUGUGACCAUGCCAGUGUGACAAUAAUGACGGUGGUUUUGAAAGAAACAGAAGUUACUGACGAUGCACAAAGCUGUUUUGCACACUUACUGCUUUGUCCCUGGGAUUUGGCAAGAACAGUGAUUUAGCUCCAAAGUAUGAAUCAAUGUUUGCUUGGCGUCCCUCGGGGUGAUUCAAAAGUCCCAAUAGCCUGCCGUAGAAAAUAAAAUCCUUCUGAAAAUAGAAACGAAAGAUGCAAUUAAUUUUAGGUACAUGUGACUGAGAGAAAAGAGAAGUUUCUUCUGAAAGCAAUCCCAUGCACAUCUGGCUGGUGUUUCCACUAGCUGGAAGCAGUGAGCAAGGGGAGAGAAGGGGUCCACACCAGAGGCUGCAUAGACUGCAAGAAAUGCUGUUUUAACUUUUUGACCUGGUCUUACCCUGGAGAUGCUAAUGUUUCAAACAUCCUGGUCAGUGGACAUUGUUCAUCAUUUUCCGAUGCUGUGGAAAUCCCAGGCCCAGCAGAACUGUGUUACUUAUUAAAGAACAUAUACAUAUGACUCACGUUUUUCCAGUGUGUAGUAAAACCAGUGACUUCCACAAACUCCGCUUCCUUGUGAUUAAUAAUGAGCUGAGGAUGAUCUUUCCACCGCCUUGGUCAGGCAGCUCCUCCCAGCUGGUCAUCCUUAAGCCAGGAAAGUGCUUGUGCUGCCUUUGGUGCUGCUGCCCUAAUGCUCCCAGCAUUUUCAGCUUGAAAAAGCAUGAUCUGAAAGGAAACUAUGAUCCUGGGGGAGAUGGACACUAAUGACUGAAAUACCGCAGUGGAUUAACAGGAAAAAAAACGUGGCAGUUUGCCUCUGCACAGGGCGGAUGGCUGUGAGCGCUGUGGUUUCUAACUUCACAGUGCACGCACAUCCCAGCAGCUUCUGAUUUCUCCCACUAGUGAAGCCAUCGAUAGGGGUGGUGGCUCCUGGCUACUUUUUCGUGGGAUGCCCCUUUGCCCUGCCCACAUCCCCAGGAGCCCUUCACCUCCCCACCGUUGCCCUGUUGUGGGUCAUCCUCUCUCCCCAGGCAGCGGGGGGUGGAAGUGCUCGCUUGCUCUCACCUCAGUUUUGGGCACCUGGGAAGAAGCUGGGAGGCAGGACUCGGUGGCAAACAUGGGAUCUUGGUAGGCUUAAGGAGGCUGCCCCAAAACAGGUUCACCUGAGGUGACAGCAGGGCAGAGGAUGGAUGUUUGAAAUGGGCAGUGUUGCUAUAGGUAGCUGAGAUGAUGGCUUUCCAAGGCACUUGGCUCUGAUUUCUUGAGAGUGUCUCAGAAAGCGGAGCUUUGCCACUUUAACCCCGUACCUGUCUCACUGAGAAAUAAGUAGCAGUAAGUCUGGGCAGCAGCUGGUAAAGUCUUCCACACAGCUAAGAAGGAGAGGGGGCACGACAGCGGCACUUCUGACAUCUCCUUAAGUAAACACGCAUGUCGCUUUGUCUCGGAUAUGAAUGUGCACUGCAGGUGAUUAAACAGUGUACUUCAUAUUUAGAAGUGGUUGUCUGCCUGUUGAGUCAAAAUUUCCAAGACUUCUAUAUGUGGCAGCCAGCUUUUGGCUUGGCUUGCUCAGUAACUCUCUGGAUCUACUUUCUGACACCUCAUAAUUUUUGGAAUAAUUAUUUAUGCUCCAAAGACCUACUACCUAGCUUCUUGGGGCAAAGCCAUUUUAAUUUCCUUUAUAAUGCUAGCGACGCUGAAGGGAAUUGGUGUGUAAAUAGCUUUCCUUAGAGCCACUGCAGCUGCUGGUGCUCACCUGUGUCUGAGGAAGGGGAGGGUAAUUCAUUGCCGUUUAGCACACGGGGGGAAAUAGUUCUAUUCAACCCUUUGUCUGCUGAGAGACAGAAAUGGGCACAUUGUCCAUUUAGGACGUGGGUGUGACCAUCAGCGUUUUGGUGGUAGCUUCUGAACAGCUAUCAGAUGCUGACAUGAUUUUCAGAGGGCUCUGGAAAGGUCAGGCUCUGCAAGGCCUGGCAGGGCUGCCAUGUCCCCCUGACCUGCUGGCAGGUACUGGAGCCCUUGGUGAUGCAGGAGCCGCUCACCUGCCUCUGCCGCGAGCACGAGCCAGGCGGGAGGCAGGUAGGGUGAGCGCUGUGAAAAGCCUGGGGUUUGCACAGCAGCACCGAGUGAUGCUUUUCCAGAGCCCAGGUCGGCGGAGGUGCUGACCCUGUGGAGCUCCUGGUAGCAAUGUGCUUUCUGGCACAUUUAGAGGCAGGGGGAGGGGGGCCAGGGCUGCCUGUUAGCCUGGUCACUGCACCUGAUGCCCAGUCGGAGGUGGUCUGCAAACCCUGCUGGUUGCCAUGAGCUCCAAGGGGCAGAAGAUGCAGCCUCUUUCCCAGUGACUGUGUUGGGGGUGAGAAUAUCUUAGGCUAAGAUAAGGAGAGUUUUCUUGGUGUAAGCAUCAUUUUUCCUUCCUUCUUUCCUUCCUCUUCAAGGUGCAAGCAGACCUCUUUUGGGAGGAGUGUGGCCUCAGAUUGGUUUAGUGUCUUCCAUUGUGUUGGAGGAAGCACAAGUUUUAUGGACAGGUUGCGGAGGACUUUCUUCCUACCCUCCCCUUGUGUUCCCUGCCUUGGGGAGAUCUGGCUGGGAUCCACUUCUCUUCCCCCUUUCAGCAGGUUGCCAAAUGAUGUCUUUGAUUCCUGCACCAUGAAAACAACCUGCAAGCAGAGGCUGAAAUUCUGGCUUGCCGGGGUGGUGAGCCUGAGCUGGGAGGAGAGGGGAAGAGCAAAAAGGUCCAUGCCAAAGAGCUUUAACUCUAGUUUUUGUACAGUUUUGAAUUAUUUUGUUAUAAAACCGCACUCUGGCAUUGCUAAGGGGUGGCAAAGGAGCUUCCCUGCUCCUGCCCUCAGGCACUGGCCAUACAGCUGUUGUCUGGGGUGGAGACUAUCUGCCUGGCUUUAAAGGUCUCUGCCAGCCGACUGCGGCGUGGCCCCCAACAAACCCUGCCACUGGGUGUCUCGGCAUGUGUUGCAUGUGCAGAUGGUGUUGCACAUUAGCAGGCUUGAGACUGAGAAGUGAGGUGUGAUAGGGACCACCUGGGGACCCAACCACCCCACCACCUGUCUGUUGAAGCCCUCCAGAUCACCCGGGGUCCAGUUUCCAGUCCCAUCUGAGCAGGCUCAGCUAUUUUUCCCGUGGUGGGGGCACAAUGCUUAUACCCUGCCUGAUCUAAACAGUUAUACAUCGGAGUCCCAGAGUUUUCCUGAGUAACUGGAUUUCGGAAGCUGUUCUGCAGAUCACACUUGGGGUAUUUAUGUACUGAGCUACAUUGCAGCUGUUUGGGCUCCUCUUGAAAAGCAAGGUGAUGGGUACUGAUGGAGGGCUAUUGUCUCUGACAUGGAGGUGCUGAGGAUCCUUGGCUGGGCACUAUGCUUCUCACGUAAAAUGAUGUUAAUGUUCAUCUUGGGAAAUAAAUACAACUUCUGUUUGUCAUGCUUUA